CGGGGUGUGGCGCAGCUUGGUAGCGCGCCUGCUUUGGGAGCAGGAGGUCGGAGGUUCGAAUCCUCUCGCCCCGACCG
Molecule: transfer RNA, 77 nt
Filed under: Chloroflexota bacterium
Lineage: Bacteria; Bacillati; Chloroflexota
Description: Chloroflexi bacterium tRNA-Pro
Rfam family: tRNA
About the family: Transfer RNA (tRNA) molecules are approximately 80 nucleotides in length.
Source: RNAcentral